This 485-nucleotide ribosomal RNA is filed under the name uncultured bacterium. RNAcentral's name for it is "partial 16S ribosomal RNA". It matches the Rfam family "Bacterial small subunit ribosomal RNA", at positions 29 to 523 of the family's 1533-position model. The record is from RNAcentral.
AGUGAACGCUGGCGGCGUGCUUAACACAUGCAAGUCGAACGAGAACGGGAUAUAGCUUGCUAUAUUUGUCAGCUAAGUGGCGCACGGGUGAGUAAUGUAUAGACAACCUGCCCUCUAGAAAGGAAUAACAGUUGGAAACGACUGCUAAUGCCCUAUAUGCCUUUAAUACAUAAGUAUGCAAGGGAAACGCUUUAGUGCUAGAGGAUGGGUCUGUAUGGUAUCAGCUUGUUGGUGAGGUAAUGGCUCACCAAGGCUAUGACGCCUAACUGGUUUGAGAGGAUGAUCAGUCACACAGGAAUUGAGACACGGUCCAGACUCCUACGGGAGGCAGCAGUGGGGAAUAUUGCACAAUGGACGAAAGUCUGAUGCAGCAACGCCGCGUGGAGGAUGACACAUUUCGGUGCGUAAACUCCUUUUAUAUAGGAAGAUAAUGACGGUACUAUAUGAAUAAGCACCGGCUAACUCCGUGCCAGCAGCCGCAGUAA